GUCUGCAACUCGACUACAUGAAGCUGGAAUCGCUAGUAAUCGCGAAUCAGAAUGUCGCGGUGAAUACGUUCCCGGGUCUUGUACACACCGCCCGUCACACCAUGGGAGUCAGUAACGCCCGAAGCCGGUGACCUAACCGAAAGGGAGGAGCCGUCGAAGGUGGGACCGAUAACUGGGGUGAAGUCGUAACAAGGUAGC
Molecule: ribosomal RNA, 198 nt
Filed under: uncultured bacterium
Lineage: Bacteria
Description: partial 16S ribosomal RNA
Rfam family: Bacterial small subunit ribosomal RNA
Source: RNAcentral